GCCGAUGUGGCGAAACCGGUAGACGCGCAUGCCUCAGACGCAUGUGAGAGUUCUCUCGUGGAGGUUCGAGUCCUCUCGUCGGCACCA
Molecule: transfer RNA, 87 nt
Filed under: Candidatus Peregrinibacteria bacterium
Lineage: Bacteria; Candidatus Peregrinibacteriota
Description: tRNA-Leu
Rfam family: tRNA
About the family: Transfer RNA (tRNA) molecules are approximately 80 nucleotides in length. Their secondary structure includes four short double-helical elements and three loops (D, anti-codon, and T loops). Further hydrogen bonds mediate the characteristic L-shaped molecular structure. tRNAs have two regions of fundamental functional importance: the anti-codon, which is responsible for specific mRNA codon recognition, and the 3' end, to which the tRNAs corresponding amino acid is attached (by aminoacyl-tRNA synthetases). tRNAs cope with the degeneracy of the genetic code in two manners: having more than one tRNA (with a specific anti-codon) for a particular amino acid; and 'wobble' base-pairing, i.e. permitting non-standard base-pairing at the 3rd anti-codon position.
Source: RNAcentral